RNAcentral lists this ribosomal RNA (464 nucleotides) under uncultured bacterium. RNAcentral's name for it is "bacterial SSU rRNA". It matches the Rfam family "Bacterial small subunit ribosomal RNA", at positions 337 to 792 of the family's 1533-position model. The record is from RNAcentral.
UCCUACGGGGGGCAGCAGUGGGGAAUUUUCCGCAAUGGGCGAAAGCCUGACGGAGUGACGCCGCGUGGGGGACGAAGGCCUUCGGGUCGUAAACCCCUGUCAGAGGGAAAGAAGGGUCGCCUGGCUAAUAUCCAGGUGAUUUGACGGUACCUUCAGAGGAAGCCCCGGCCAACUCUGUGCCAGCAGCCGCGGUAAGACAGAGGGGGCAAGCGUUGCUCGGAAUCACUGGGCGUAAAGGGCGCGUAGGCGGGAUGGCAAGUCGGUCGUGAAAUCCUUCGGCUCAACCGAAGAACGUCGGCCGAUACUGCCAUUCUUGAGGGAUGCAGAGGAGACUGGAAUUCCCGGUGUAGCGGUGAAAUGUGUAGAGAUCGGGAGGAACACCGGUGGCGAAGGCGGGUCUCUGGGCAUUUCCUGACGCUGAGGCGCGAAAGCGUGGGGAGCAAACGGGAUUAGAUACCCUAGUA